UGCAGCUCUCGACUCAGAAAUCUACCGAAGCCUACAGGCCAUUCUGAGAGAGCUGGACACUUCACAACCUGUGGUCAAUAAAGGAAUGCUGAGGUGGACGUUGCAUAAGAAGGUGCAGUGUGAUCCGCAGAAGAGCCUGGCUUUGGUCCGAGUGACCGUCAAAGAGCUAGAGAGAGCUGAGAGAGUGGACCUGAAAACACACAUCAUCCCGCUGUUACACACUCUCAUGUACGCCGUCAUACAGGUAGUGUAGUAAUAGUUGAUGAUAUAGUGUAUUAACAUUAAACAUGCAUAUUAUAAUGCACGUGUGUGUGUGUGUGUGUGUGUGUGUGUUUGUGUGU
Molecule: long non-coding RNA, 341 nt
Organism: Ictalurus punctatus (channel catfish)
Lineage: Eukaryota; Metazoa; Chordata; Actinopteri; Siluriformes; Ictaluridae
Source: Ensembl